This 2122-nucleotide long non-coding RNA is filed under the name Zea mays. RNAcentral describes it as "long non-coding RNA (ZMAY_LNC000227)". Lineage: Eukaryota; Viridiplantae; Streptophyta; Magnoliopsida; Poales; Poaceae. The record is from RNAcentral.
UGGUCUACCAGAGAGGGCACAUGUGCCUCAAUUGGCCUAUAGCAUAGCGACUCAUUAUCCUUCCACCGCUGGUGGCGGGCGGUACUCGCUGCUCUGUGAAGCCAGCCUCACACAAUGUCCGCCACUUUAGGUGUUGGGAUGCAAAGGCUUUCGCCAAGGCAUCCGAAACCCACUACACAACUUGGAAUGGGUGGUCCACUGUUUGUAGCACUAGACCCAGGCACAUGCACCACAAUUGACAUCCACACUACCUUAUUGCCCCGCUCGGGUUACAAGCAAUCGCUACUUGCUCAGCGAGUGAGGGGGUUCAAGACUACCUAUUUAAGGUGGUGUUGUACUCUAUGAGCCGGCGGUGUGGUAUUUACCAACUACAAAUAGUGUCAUGCAUGUGACUUGCUAGUUGACAAUGUCUGUUGUCAAGCUAGGUGUGGGCUAUGGAUGAAGCACAUUAGGAUAUAGUAGGCCUAUUUUGUUUUUUGUUGUUUUUGGGCCACUAUGGACUUUAUGUUGAUGUUGUGAAAUUUUUUUCUUGUGUUUCCUCUUCCUACGAUGUGGAAAGUGGGUGCGUCAGAGAAGAAAGAAAGAGUGGCUAGCAUUGAUUUUACGUCAUACCAUUGAGAACACUAAUCAGAAGCAGAAGCAACAAUAUUUCAUACAUAUACAACACUUGUAAUCCAUAUAAACAACAUUCCUUUAAAAUAUAAUAUAAACCACAUGAUUUAUAUCCUGGGUCGGCUAUCUCCACAAAGGGCAAGAAAACGCUCCAAGUUUGUAGUAUAGCACUAAAAGUGUCGAUUCUCACGAUUUCUUCCCGACAUAUACAAACUAGACAGUAAUCACAUAAAAUAAAGAAAUAUGUGUUAACACAAACUUAUAGCAUGUAUUUCAACAUAUAGAUUGUUGAUUAUUAUGGUAGAUUAUAUAAAAUAGGGGUUCCCGAAGAAAUACAUAAAAACAAGAGCAUUAAAAUUUCCUUUUCAGAUCUGGCUAUCUGGUAAAAGGAGUUGGAGUAACUGAGUUUCCAAAUUUGUGACGUAGCUCUAUAGAAGGAAUAUAAAUACGUUGGAAAAAUUCUAUAAGGAAAGGUUUAAUACAAGUAGGGCUAAGAAAAACUCAAUGAGGCUUUGGUCGCAUGGUCACAAAACUUGAGACAAGAAACACGAAGACACCAAGGUAAUUAGUAUGAGAGUUUUCCAAAUUUGGUGUCUUGAUGUAGAAAAAAUAAAUAUAUGACAAAUUUGUUUUUUCGCAAGGCAUGGAUAAAUAGGUGGGGGUGAGCAAUAAAUUUCAUCCUAGAUUUAGAAGGAAUAAAUAUAUCACUAAAUAUGUUUUUUCACAAUGCCAAGUUAAUCAGGUGGGAGCGAGAAACAAUUCUAGCGAGGCUAGGUUGUACUAGCCCAAAACUACAUACAACAGAGGAAAAAUGAAGAAAAUGAUGGUCUACCAAAUAUGGCGCAUGAGCCUUAAGGUGCACCUAGAGGGAAGUAGAAGAAAUAAAUAUAUAAUAGCAUAUAUUUUUCGCAAUGCAUGGUAAAGUGUAGAUGUGCUCUAACUGGGCUUAGAUUGCAGCGACACAUUAUGCAUCUACAAGGCUUGGUUGCACAUGGAAAAAGAUACAGAAAGAAAUGUAGACGCAGGACCGGGAGAAAAACAUUCAAUGAGACGUGAUUGCACAGACAUAGAACUAGAUAUAAGACAAGAGUUAAAGAAAAAUAAAGGAACUAAAUUUUCUUCUGCACACUAAGCAUGAAUGGAGUUGUAGUAUCUGAGAUCAAAAUUUAAUUUAUUCCAAGAUGCAGAACAAAAAUGUGAUACUCGUAAUGGUUACAUAGGAACAAAAGUAGUUAAGAAAAAUAGCAAAAAGAUAGUGGUCUACCAGAGAGGGCACAUGUGCCUCAAUUGGCCUAUAGCAUAGCGACUCAUUAUCCUUCCACCGCUGGUGGCGGGCGGUACUCGCUGCUCUGUGAAGCCAGCCUCACGCAAUGUCCGCCACUUUAGGUGUUGGGAUGCAAAGGCUUUCGCCAAGGCAUCCGAAACCCACUACACAACUUGGAAUGGGUGGUCCACAGUUUGUAGCACUAGACCCAGGCACAUGCACCACAAUUGACAUCCACACUACCUU